AGCAGCCGCGGUAAUUCCAGCUCCAAUAGCGUAUAUUAAAGUUGUUGCAGUUAAAAAGCUCGUAGUUGAAUUUCGGGGUUAGUAGGUUGGUCAUGCCUCUGGUAUGUACUGGUCUCACUGAUUCCUCCUUCCUGAUGAGCCGUAAUGCCAUUAAUUUGGUGUUGCGGGGAAUUUGGACUGUUACUUUGAAAAAAUUAGAGUGUUUAAAGCAAGCUAACGCUUGAAUACAUUAGCAUGGAAUAAUGAAAUAGGACGUUCGAUCCUAUUUUGUUGGUUUCUAGGAUUGACGUAAUGAUUAAUAGGGAUAGUUGGGGGCAUUAGUAUUCAAUUGUCAGAGGUGAAAUUCUUGGAUUUAUUGAAGACUAACUACUGCGAAAGCAUUUGCCAAGGAUGUUUUCAUUAAUCAAGAACGAAAGUUAGGGGAUCGAAGACGAUCAGAUACCGUCGUAGUCUUAACCAUAAACUAUGCCGACUAGGGGAUCGGAUGAUGUUAAUUUUUUAAUGACUCA
Molecule: ribosomal RNA, 509 nt
Filed under: Glomus sp. Glo8
Lineage: Eukaryota; Fungi; Glomeromycota; Glomeromycetes; Glomerales; Glomeraceae
Description: SSU rRNA
Rfam family: Eukaryotic small subunit ribosomal RNA
Source: RNAcentral